Molecule: ribosomal RNA, 493 nt
Filed under: uncultured bacterium
Lineage: Bacteria
Description: partial 16S ribosomal RNA
Rfam family: Bacterial small subunit ribosomal RNA
Source: RNAcentral
AUUGAACGCUGGCGGCAUGCUUUACACAUGCAAGUCGAACGGUAACAGGUUAAGCUGACGAGUGGCGAACGGGUGAGUAAUGCAUCGGAACGUGCCCGGUCGUGGGGGAUAACACUUCGAAAGUAGCGCUAAUACCGCAUACGAUCUGAGGAUGAAAGCGGGGGACCGUAAGGCCUCGCGCGAUCGGAGCGGCCGGUGUCAGGUUAGGUAGUUGGUGGGGUAAAGGCCCACCAAGCCGACGAUCUGUAGCUGGUCUGAGAGGACGACCAGCCACACUGGGACUGAGACACGGCCCAGACUCCUACGGGAGGCAGCAGUGGGGAAUUUUGGACAAUGGGCGCAAGCCUGAUCCAGCAAUGCCGCGUGCAGGAAGAAGGCCUUCGGGUUGUAAACUGCUUUUGUACGGAGCGAAAAGGCUCUCUCUAAUACAGGGGGCUGAUGACGGUACCGUAAGAAUAAGCACCGGCUAACUACGUGCCAGCAGCCGCAGUAA